CCCUUAGAUGUUCGGGGCCGCACGCGCGCUACACUGAAUGAAUCAGCGAGUGUAUGUCCUAGGCCGAAAGGUCCGGGUAACCCGUUGAACCUCAUUCGUGAUUGGGAUAGGGACUUGCAAUUGUUUCCCUUGAACGAGGAAUUCCCAGUAAGCGCAAGUCAUCGGCUUGCGUUGAUUACGUCCCUGCCCUUUGUACACACCGCCCGUCGCACCUACCGAUUGAAUGGUUCGGUGAAGAUCUCGGACUUCGAUAUUUAUUCUUUAUUGAGUUUAUAUUGUGGGAAGUUAUCUAAACCUCAUCAUUUAGAGGAAGGUGAAGUCGUAACA
Molecule: ribosomal RNA, 327 nt
Filed under: uncultured eukaryote
Lineage: Eukaryota
Description: partial 18S ribosomal RNA
Rfam family: Eukaryotic small subunit ribosomal RNA
Source: RNAcentral